AGGUGAAGUCCACUAUUUCAGCUUCAUCAUUCAGCCUGGAAACUGAACUGCACCAUAAAACUUGUGCUUGAAAAGUGCCAUGGGACCCAUAUUAAUUGUCCAACUUUGAUCUGCUGGACAAAAGUAGCUUUGAAGAACAAGGAUCCCAGCUUAAAGAAAAACAUGUGUCACAUCCAUAAUUGUUUGACAUCAUAUUUAAGCCCACCUGGAUUCCUUGUUGCAAUGUCUUCAAAACAAAAGUAAAAAUGAAAGGAUUUCAGUGGUGAGCUCAUAACGAUGGGAUCAAAAGGAAGUGACCUGGACUCAGAGGGACUUAACACAAGAUUGUGAUGGACAUAGAAUGCGACACCGUUUACGAAUAAGUCAAGAACCAAAUGAAACACACUAUUUUCCAGAGUACAGAUUAUGGAGGGGUCUGCAAAACUAAUAGAGCAGUUUCUUCUUCUUGGAGUGCCACACCUUAAAUCCAAAGGUCCUAACAGCUCUCCUGAUUCCGUCAAGGCUUGAAGUGUCAGCAUUACGAUGGCCAACGCUCGCUCACUAUCCUUCUGCUCCCUUAUUUAUCAGAGGCACCACAGUAGAAUGAAUUAGCAAUUACUCUUCACUUUCCAGCCGCAACCCAGCACUGGGAAACACCCAUAUACUCUCUCAUACACCUGCACACAUUCACUCACUGUGGCCAAUUUACCAAUUCCUGUACGCAUACCUUUGGACUGUGGGGGCAACUGGAGCACCCAGAGGAAACCCACAAAAACACUGGGAGAACUUGCAAACUUCACACAGAAACACCA
Molecule: non-coding RNA, 791 nt
Organism: Danio rerio (zebrafish)
Lineage: Eukaryota; Metazoa; Chordata; Actinopteri; Cypriniformes; Danionidae
Source: Ensembl